UACGGAGGAUCCAAGCGUUAUCCGGAUUCAUUGGGUUUAAAGGGUGCGUAGGCGGGAUUGUAGGUCAGUGGUGAAAGCUAGCAGCUUAACUGUUAAAUUGCCAUUGAUACUGCAGUCCUAGAAUAUAGAUGACGUUGGCGGAAUAUGACAUGUAGCGGUGAAAUGCAUAGAUAUGUCAUAGAACACCGAUUGCGAAGGCAGCUGACGAAACUAUAAUUGACGCUGAUGCACGAAAGUGCGGGGAUCAAACAGG
This 253-nucleotide ribosomal RNA is filed under the name uncultured prokaryote. Its description in RNAcentral is "partial 16S ribosomal RNA". It matches the Rfam family "Bacterial small subunit ribosomal RNA", at positions 524 to 776 of the family's 1533-position model. The record is from RNAcentral.